ACUCCGACCGGAGACGGAAGGAGUGCUUUUAUUAGAUCAAAACCAAUCGGUGGCGGGUUCGCUCGUCAUCGUACAACUUGGUGACUCUGAAUAACUUUAUGCUGAUCGCACGGUCUCGCACCGGCGACGCAUCUUUCAAAUGUCUGCCUUAUCAACUGUCGAUGGUAGGUUCUGCGCCUACCAUGGUUGUAACGGGUAACGGGGAAUCAGGGUUCGAUUCCGGAGAGGGAGCCUGAGAAACGGCUACCACAUCCAAGGAAGGCAGCAGGCGCGCAAAUUACCCACUCCCGGCACGGGGAGGUAGUGACGAAAAAUAACGAUACGGGACUCAUCCGAGGCCCCGUAAUCGGAAUGAGUACACUCUAAACCCUUUAACGAGGAUCAAUUGGAGGGCAAGUCUGGUGCCAGCAGCCGCGGUAAUUCCAGCUCCAAUAGCGUAUAUUAAAGUUGUUGCGGUUAAAAAGCUCGUAGUCGAAUCUGUGUCUUGCGCCGCCGGUUCAUCGUUCGCGGUGUUAACUGGCGUGUCGCAGGACGUCCUGCCGGUGGGCUUAGCUCGCAAGGGCGGCCCAACUCAAUCCUGCCGCGGUGCUCUUCACUGAGUGUCGAGGUGGGCCGGCACGUUUACUUUGAACAAAUUAGAGUGCUUAAAGCAGGCUAAAACUUCGCCUGAAUACUGUGUGCAUGGAAUAAUGGAAUAGGACCUCGGUUCUAUUUUGUUGGUUUUCGGAACCCCGAGGUAAUGAUUAAUAGGAACGGAUGGGGGCAUUCGUAUUGCGACGUUAGAGGUGAAAUUCUUGGAUCGUCGCAAGACGGACAGAAGCGAAAGCAUUUGCCAAAAACGCUUUCAUUGAUCAAGAACGAAAGUUAGAGGUUCGAAGGCGAUCAGAUACCGCCCUAGUUCUAACCAUAAACGAUGCCAGCUAGCGAUCCGUCGACGUUCCUCCGAUGACUCGACGGGCAGCUUCCGGGAAACCAAAGCUUUUGGGUUCCGGGGGAAGUAUGGUUGCAAAGCUGAAACUUAAAGGAAUUGACGGAAGGGCACCACCAGGAGUGGAGCCUGCGGCUUAAUUUGACUCAACACGGGAAACCUCACCAGGCCCGGACACCGGAAGGAUUGACAGAUUGAGAGCUCUUUCUUGAUUCGGUGGGUGGUGGUGCAUGGCCGUUCUUAGUUGGUGGAGCGAUUUGUCUGGUUAAUUCCGAUAACGAACGAGACUCUAGCCUGCUAACUAGGCGUAUUUUGACAUCGCAAAGGCCCGCCGGUAUCGGGGUUCGCUCCUUUAUCGUGCGCGGUUUUUACUGUCGGCGUACAAACAAUUCUUCUUAGAGGGACAGGCGGCUUCUAGCCGCACGAGAUUGAGCAAUAACAGGUCUGUGAUGCCCUUAGAUGUUCUGGGCCGCACGCGCGCUACACUGAAGGAAUCAGCGUGUCCUCCCUGGCCGAGUGGCCCGG
RNAcentral lists this ribosomal RNA (1453 nucleotides) under Deporaus betulae. RNAcentral's name for it is "SSU rRNA". It matches the Rfam family "Eukaryotic small subunit ribosomal RNA", at positions 174 to 1545 of the family's 1831-position model. Lineage: Eukaryota; Metazoa; Arthropoda; Insecta; Coleoptera; Attelabidae. The record is from RNAcentral.